Molecule: long non-coding RNA, 196 nt
Organism: Symsagittifera roscoffensis
Lineage: Eukaryota; Metazoa; Xenacoelomorpha; Acoela; Convolutidae
Exons: 3
Source: RefSeq, a predicted model, not a curated record
CAACUAUUUUGGUUUCUACUCUGAUUGCAGGAGCCUCGUUUGCAGACGUUUUUUUCUCUCCACAACCUCAUAGACCGAACAACUAUGGCGAUGAAGAUGCCGAAAUCGGUUCUUAUGCCGAGAGAUAUGAAACCAAAUCACACGGCGUUUGCGAUUUUUGUCUGUCCGAAAAACUAUUCCUUCGUAUCAUUGUGGG